AAAUUGAAGAGUUUGAUCAUGGCUCAGAUUGAACGCUGGCGGCAGGCCUAACACAUGCAAGUCGAACGGUAACAGGAAGCAGCUUGCUGCUUUGCUGACGAGUGGCGGACGGGUGAGUAAUGUCUGGGAAACUGCCUGAUGGAGGGGGAUAACUACUGGAAACGGUGGCUAAUACCGCAUAACGUCGCAAGACCAAAGAGGGGGACCUUCAGGCCUCUUGCCAUCAGAUGUGCCCAGAUGGGAUUAGCUUGUUGGUGAGGUAACGGCUCACCAAGGCGACGAUCCCUAGCUGGUCUGAGAGGAUGACCAGCCACACUGGAACUGAGACACGGUCCAGACUCCUACGGGAGGCAGCAGUGGGGAAUAUUGCACAAUGGGCGCAAGCCUGAUGCAGCCAUGCCGCGUGUAUGAAGAAGGCCUUCGGGUUGUAAAGUACUUUCAGCGGGGAGGAAGGUGUUGUGGUUAAUAACCGCAGCAAUUGACGUUACCCGCAGAAGAAGCACCGGCUAACUCCGUGCCAGCAGCCGCGGUAAUACGGAGGGUGCAAGCGUUAAUCGGAA
This 560-nucleotide ribosomal RNA is filed under the name Salmonella enterica. RNAcentral describes it as "bacterial SSU rRNA". It matches the Rfam family "Bacterial small subunit ribosomal RNA", at positions 1 to 550 of the family's 1533-position model. RNAcentral also lists the same sequence under 1 other name. Lineage: Bacteria; Pseudomonadati; Pseudomonadota; Gammaproteobacteria; Enterobacterales; Enterobacteriaceae. The record is from RNAcentral.